CACAAAAGGCAACCCAUGAUGCAUUGUGGCAUACAUAGAUUUAAGGAUUGACUAUGUUUUCAUCGUUAUUCAUUUCUCCUCAGCAGAUAUCACAAGCUACAGCUAAUUGUGUUAGGUAGUGAGUAAUCUUCACUACCAGAUUAUUUUUGUGCUAAAUGAAUUUAGUUAAAUGAAUUAGCCAGGAUAGAACAUCUAGCCUGGCUAAGUUUAGUGUAAAAAAAUAUUUAAUCAAAGGCAAGAAAAGGCCAAAUUUCAUGUGGUGUAAUGAAGGUAAAAGUCAGAAAAGGCAGGAUGGUUUCUGUAAGUUAGAAUAGAUGAUUGAGGAACAGUUUGAAUGUUUGAUUUAAAUUAUGUGGUCCAAUCAUCAUAUUUGGUUUAAUGGUCUUUAUUUUUGUUUAGAGUUGUAUGUACUCUGAAUAGCUGUGAGAGGAGAGAGGAGUCCACAUGGAGUUCCCAAAUACACAAUGUGAUUUUAAAAGCCUUCUAAUAUAAGUACUGUAAUCUCAACAAUAACAGAACGGGGUAAAGGAGUGGACUGAGGUAGCGGUGUGGAACUUGGUAAAGGUGUAGAACAUGGUAAAGGGGUGGACUGAGGGGGCGUGGAACGUAAUGAAGGUGAGGACUGAGGUAAAGGGGUGGACUGAGGGGGUGUGGAACGUAAUGAAGGUGAGGACUGAGGUAAAGGGGUGGACUGAGGGGGCGUGGAACGUAGUGAAGGUGAGAACUGAGGUAAAGGUGUGGCAUGAGGGGCCGUGGAACCUAAUAAAGGUGAGAACUGAGGUAAAGGGGUGGACUGAGGGGGCGUGGAACGUAGUGAAGGUGAGGACUGAGGUAAAGGUGUGGCAUGAGGGGCCGUGGAACCUAAUAAAGGUGAGAACCGAGGUAAAGGUGUGGCAUGAGGGGCCGUGGAACCUAAUAAAGGUGAGAAUUGAGGUAAAGGGGUGGACUGAGGGGGCGUGGAACGUAAUGAAGGUGAGGACUGAGGUAAAGGGGUGGACUGAGGGGGCGUGGAACGUAAUGAAGGUGAGGACUGAGGUAAAGGGGUGGACUGAGGGGGCGUGGAACCUAAUAAGGUGAGGACUGAGGUAAAGGGGUGGACUGAGGGGGCGUGGAACGUAAUGAAGGUGAGGACUGAGGUAAAGGGGUGGACUGAGGGGGCGUGGAACGUAAUGAAGGGGUGGACUGAGGGGGCGUGGAACGUAAUGAAGGUGAGGACUGAGGUAAAGG
This is a long non-coding RNA of Ictalurus punctatus (channel catfish), 1227 nucleotides long. Lineage: Eukaryota; Metazoa; Chordata; Actinopteri; Siluriformes; Ictaluridae. The record is from Ensembl.